Molecule: ribosomal RNA, 443 nt
Filed under: uncultured bacterium
Lineage: Bacteria
Description: partial 16S ribosomal RNA
Rfam family: Bacterial small subunit ribosomal RNA
Source: RNAcentral
CCUACGGGAGGCAGCAGUGGGGGAUAUUGGACAAUGGGGGGAACCCUGAUCCAGCGACGCCGCGUGAGUGAAGAAGUAUUUCGGUAUGUAAAGCUCUGUCAGCAGGGAAGAAAGAAAUGACGGUACCUGACCAAGAAGCCCCGGCUAACUACGUGCCAGCAGCCGCGGUAAUACGGAGGGGGCAAGCGUUAUCCGGAAUUACUGGGUGUAAAGGGAGCGUAGACGGUUAAGUAAGUCUGGAGUGAAAGGCCGGGGCCCAACCCCGGGACUGCUCUGGAAACUAUUGAACUUGAGUGCAGGAGAGGUAAGCGGAAUUCCUAGUGUAGCGGUGAAAUGCGUAGAUAUUAGGAGGAACACCAGUGGCGAAGGCGGCUUACUGGACUGUAACUGACGUUGAGGCUCGAAAGCGUGGGGAGCAAACAGGAUUAGAUACCCCUGUAGUC